RNAcentral lists this transfer RNA (84 nucleotides) under Candidatus Iainarchaeum sp. RNAcentral's name for it is "tRNA-Leu". It matches the Rfam family "tRNA". From Rfam's summary of the family: Transfer RNA (tRNA) molecules are approximately 80 nucleotides in length. Their secondary structure includes four short double-helical elements and three loops (D, anti-codon, and T loops). The record is from RNAcentral. Lineage: Archaea; Nanobdellati; Candidatus Iainarchaeota; Candidatus Iainarchaeia; Candidatus Iainarchaeales; Candidatus Iainarchaeaceae.
GCACGGGUAACGAAGCGGCCAAACGUGCUGGCUUCAGGGGCCAGUGGCUUAGUGCCUUCGCAGGUUCGAAUCCUGCCCCGUGCA